GUAGGGGAGCAAACGUUGUCCGGAUUAUUGGGCGUAAAGGGCUCGUAGGCGGUUCAACAAGUCGGUCGUGAAAACCCGGGGGGCUCAACCCCGGGGACGCCGGUCGAAACUGUUGUGACUAGAGUUCGGUAGAGGUGAGUGGAAUUCUCGGUGUAGCGGUGGAAUGCGCAGAUAUCGAGAGGAACACCAUUAGCGAAGGCGGCUCACUGGGCCGAUACUGACGCUGAGGAGCGAAAGCGUGGGGAGCAAACAGGAUUAGAUACCCUGGUAGUCCACGCCGUAAACGAUGAACACUAGGUGUGGCGGACUGAUUCAUGUCGGCUGCGCCGUAGCUAACGCAUUAAGUGUUCCGCCUGGGGAGUACGGCCGCAAAGGCUA
This 378-nucleotide ribosomal RNA is filed under the name uncultured organism. RNAcentral describes it as "partial 16S ribosomal RNA". It matches the Rfam family "Bacterial small subunit ribosomal RNA", at positions 526 to 896 of the family's 1533-position model. The record is from RNAcentral.